Molecule: non-coding RNA, 105 nt
Organism: Acanthosepion pharaonis
Lineage: Eukaryota; Metazoa; Mollusca; Cephalopoda; Sepiida; Sepiidae
Source: the annotation of a GenBank genome assembly
AGCCAUAUCACGUUGAAACACUGGUUCCCAUCAGUAAAGUUAGGCAAAGUCGAACUUAGUCAGUACCUAGAUGGGUGACCGCUUGGGAAUACCAGGUGCUGUAAG